Molecule: long non-coding RNA, 225 nt
Filed under: Olea europaea (common olive)
Lineage: Eukaryota; Viridiplantae; Streptophyta; Magnoliopsida; Lamiales; Oleaceae
Description: long non-coding RNA (OEUR_LNC003855)
Source: RNAcentral
UCAGAGUUAAAGAUUCUGAUGCACAUUAUAUGUCUGUAGAUGUCUUUUGGUAUAGAUUUUACGCAUUCAACAGGGCAAAAAAUUAAGUGUCCUGGUCAACCACCUCCAAGAUUGAAUCAUCAACUGUUUAAAUUAUUAUUAGGUUUUUCAAAUAGCUAACUGGUUGGUUCGCUUGGGCCAUAUUCUAGCAAAUUCUUUUGAUGAUUUAUUUCAAUUUAAUUACUG